CGAGCCGGGCGGACGGCCGCGUGAAGUCCCUCAGGGGCCUUCCCGAGGAACGUCCGGGCUCCACAGGGCAGGGUGAUGGCUAACGGCCACCCGGGGUGACCCGCGGGAAAGUGCCACAGAAAACAAACCGCCGGGGACUUCGGUCCUCGGUAAGGGUGAAACGGCGGUGUAAGAGACCACCAGUGCCCAGGGCGACCUGAGCAGCUAGGUAAACCCCACCCGGAGCAAGGUCAAAAGGGAGCACCCCGGUGCUCCUGCGGGGACGUUCGAGGGCUGCCCGCCCGAGUCCCCGGGUAGACCGCACGAGACCGGCGGCAACGCCGGUCCUAGAUGGAUGGCCGUCUCCCCGACCGCCGCGAGGCGGCCGGGCGACAGAACCCGGCGUACAGCCCGACUCGUCUG
This 402-nucleotide RNase P RNA is filed under the name Streptomyces sp. RNAcentral describes it as "RNase P RNA component class A". It matches the Rfam family "Bacterial RNase P class A". From Rfam's summary of the family: Ribonuclease P (RNase P) is a ubiquitous endoribonuclease, found in archaea, bacteria and eukarya as well as chloroplasts and mitochondria. Its best characterised activity is the generation of mature 5'-ends of tRNAs by cleaving the 5'-leader elements of precursor-tRNAs. Cellular RNase Ps are ribonucleoproteins. Lineage: Bacteria; Bacillati; Actinomycetota; Actinomycetes; Kitasatosporales; Streptomycetaceae. The record is from RNAcentral.